CCAAACUCCUACGGGAGGCAGCAGUGGGGAAUAUUGCGCAAUGGACGAAAGUCUGACGCAGCAACGCCGCGUGAGGGAUGACGGCCUUCGGGUUGUAAACCUCUUUCAGCAGGGACGAAGCGAGAGUGACGGUACCUGCAGAAGAAGGACCGGCCAACUACGUGCCAGCAGCCGCGGUAAUACGUAGGGUCCGAGCGUUGUCCGGAAUUAUUGGGCGUAAAGGGCUCGUAGGCGGUUCGUCACGUCGGGAGUGAAAACUCGGAGCUCAACUCCGAGCCUGCUUCCGAUACGGGCAGACUAGAGGUAGGCAGGGGAGAGCGGAACUCCUGGUGUAGCGGUGGAAUGCGCAGAUAUCAGGAAGAACACCGGUGGCGAAGGCGGCUCUCUGGGCCUUACCUGACGCUGAGGAGCGAAAGCGUGGGUAGCGAACAGGAUUAGAUACCCUGGUAGUCCACGCCGUAAACGUUGGGCGCUAGGUGUGGGGGACAUUCCACGUCCUCCGUGCCGCAGCUAACGCAUUAAGCGCCCCGCCUGGGGAGUACGGCCGCAAGGCUAAAACUCAAAGGAAUUGACGGGGGCCCGCACAAGCGGCGGAGCAUGCGGAUUAAUUCGAUGCAACGCGAAGAACCUUACCUGGGUUUGACAUAUAGGGAAAUCCUCCAGAGAUGGGGGGUCCGUAAGGGUCCUAUACAGGUGGUGCAUGGCUGUCGUCAGCUCGUGUCGUGAGAAGUUGGGUUAAGUCCCGCAACGAGCGCAACCCUCGUCCUAUGUUGCCAGCACGUUAUGGUGGGGACUCAUAGGAGACUGCCGGGGUCAACUCGGAGGGAGGUGGGGACGACGUCAAAUCAUCAUGCCCCUUAUGUCUUGGGCUUCACGCAUGCUACAAUGGCCCGGUACAAA
This 900-nucleotide ribosomal RNA is filed under the name uncultured Actinomyces sp. Its description in RNAcentral is "bacterial SSU rRNA". It matches the Rfam family "Bacterial small subunit ribosomal RNA", at positions 331 to 1243 of the family's 1533-position model. Lineage: Bacteria; Bacillati; Actinomycetota; Actinomycetes; Actinomycetales; Actinomycetaceae. The record is from RNAcentral.